Molecule: long non-coding RNA, 1023 nt
Organism: Passer domesticus (house sparrow)
Lineage: Eukaryota; Metazoa; Chordata; Aves; Passeriformes; Passeridae
Exons: 9
Source: RefSeq, a predicted model, not a curated record
AGAUAGCUAAGAGCUCUCUCUAGAGCACCACUGUCUGUGAGGGGGAUGCAGAGAUGUACUGCAGCCAAGGGUGUGUGUGGUGCAUGAGCCAUUUUGUCACAAAGUUUUCUUUGAAAAUGAAUCAGCACAUUCUGUUCUUUGCAGAAGGCAAGUAUGAUUUGGAAGAUAAAAGCAGUUGCAUAUAAAAUACCUCAAUUUACAUUCAGGCAUUGUUGAUUGGAUGAAUCAAAGUCUCACUUUCAUCAGGUUUUCUCCAUCAGUUGUCAACUUUUAAGACGUUGUGAUUUUGGUUUGAAUUAGCUGGUGGCAUCUUACACUGGAGAGUGCUACUUUAAGAAGAGUUAAUGUGCUCUGAGACUUGUGACUACAGCACUGUUUUGAGGAACAUUUCUGAAAUGUGUGCAUAGUCUGACUUUUAAAAUAGCCUUAAACCUAAGAAAUGGACUUGGAAGAACCAAGUGGCACCGCUGAUACUACAGAGCAGAGUAUUUCCUUCUCUCCUUCCUCUUUUCAGCGUCCCUGCACUGUCACAAGAGGAAUUGGAUAAACAUUGGAAUCUUCACUCUUGUUAAAUGUCUCUCUGAAAGCAAACUUAAUUUUGUGCAGACUGGAAGCAUAUGUUUGCUUUCUGAAGACAUGGAAGCGAAAUCACUUUUUAAUCGGCCCCCACCUCUUCCCAUCCAGAGGAAUGGAUUACCCAGCUGAGGCCUUUCCCAAUAACUCUGCAAGAAUGCAGAAUGAAUCAGAACAGUCAUUUACAUUUCAUUUGAAUGCAGGUAGUACGUUUUGUGCCAAAGCCUUGGACUUACCUCUUACAGCAGAAUAUAACUUUGGAACAUCGGUACAGAAAGAUCAAGCCUGUAGCAAGGAGGAAUGUUUACUGCAGAAGAAAAAAAGAAAAAGAAAACCUUGACUGCACUGCAUAAAAUGCCUCUUUCUGAUCUGAUCAUUAUGCAUCCCAAGGUGGGCUAUCAGUUCCAAAGGAAACCAGAAGGAAUGAAUAAGUCAGCUUCACUUCCUUGC